RNAcentral lists this ribosomal RNA (290 nucleotides) under Acinetobacter schindleri. RNAcentral describes it as "partial 16S ribosomal RNA". It matches the Rfam family "Bacterial small subunit ribosomal RNA", at positions 1162 to 1451 of the family's 1533-position model. Lineage: Bacteria; Pseudomonadati; Pseudomonadota; Gammaproteobacteria; Moraxellales; Moraxellaceae. The record is from RNAcentral.
ACUGGAGGAAGGCGGGGAUGACGUCAAGUCAUCAUGGCCCUUACGGCCAGGGCUACACACGUGCUACAAUGGUCGGUACAAAGGGUUGCUACCUCGCGAGAGGAUGCUAAUCUCAAAAAGCCGAUUGUAGUCCGGAUCGCAGUCUGCAACUCGACUGCGUGAAGUCGGAAUCGCUAGUAAUCGCGGAUCAGAAUGCCGCGGUGAAUACGUUCCCGGGCCUUGUACACACCGCCCGUCACACCAUGGGAGUUUGUUGCACCAGAAGUAGGUAGUCUAACCGCAAGGAGGAC